ACGGGAGGCAGCAGUGAGGGAUAUUGCACAAUGGGCGAAAGCCUGAUGCAGCAACGCCGCGUGAGGGAUGACGGUUUUCGGAUUGUAAACCUCUGUCUUUGGUGAUGAUAAUGACAUUAGCCAAGGAGGAAGCCACGGCUAACUACGUGCCAGCAGCCGCGGUAAUACGUAGGUGGCAAGCGUUGUCCGGAUUUACUGGGUGUAAAGGGAGCGCAGGCGGGAAAGCGAGUCAGCGGUGAAAUGCAUAGGCUUAACCUAUGAACUGCCGUUGAAACUGUUUUUCUUGAGUGAAGUAGAGGCAAGCGGAAUUCCGAGUGUAGCGGUGAAAUGCGUAGAUAUUCGGAGGAACACCAGUGGCGAAGGCGGCUUGCUGGGCUUUAACUGACGCUGAGGCUCGAAAGUGUGGGGAGCAAACAGGAUUAGAUACCCUGGUA
Molecule: ribosomal RNA, 434 nt
Rfam family: Bacterial small subunit ribosomal RNA